GGGGGGGGGGGGGGGGGGGGGGGGGGGGGGGGGGGCGAGCGGGGGGGGGGGGGGGGGGGGGGUCGGCAGAGAGGCAGGGCGGAGUAGUGGCAGACGGGUGAGUAACGCGUGAGCAACCUACCUCUUACAAAGGGAUAGCCUCGGGAAACCGGGAUUAAUACCAUAUAACAUUGUGACGAAGCAUUUCGAUGCAAUCAAAGCUACGGCGGUAAGAGAUGGGCUCGCGUCCCAUUAACCGGAUGGUGAGGUAACGGCUCACCAUAGUGACGAUGGGUAACCGGCCUGAGAGGGUGAACGGUCACACUGGAACUGAGACACGGUCCAGACUCCUACGGGAGGCAGCAGUGGGGAAUAUUGCACAAUGGAGGGAACUCUGAUGCAGCGACGCCGCGUGAGUGAUGAAGGAAUUCGUUUCGUAAAACUCUGUUCUAUGGGAAGAAAAGGACUGUACCAUAGGAGAAAGCUCCGGCUAAAUACGUG
This 480-nucleotide ribosomal RNA is filed under the name uncultured bacterium. RNAcentral describes it as "partial 16S ribosomal RNA". The stretch from base 58 to 480 matches the Rfam family "Bacterial small subunit ribosomal RNA", at positions 38 to 507 of the family's 1533-position model. The record is from RNAcentral.